GACGAAUGCUGGCGGCGUGCUUAACACAUGCAAGUCGAACGGAAAGGCCCUGCUUGCAGGGUACUCGAGUGGCGAACGGGUGAGUAACACGUGGGUGAUCUGCCCUGCACUUCGGGAUAAGCCUGGGAAACUGGGUCUAAUACCGGAUAGGAGCCAUUUUUAGUGUGAUGGUUGGAAAGUUUUUUCGGUGUAGGAUGAGCUCGCGGCCUAUCAGCUUGUUGGUGGGGUAAUGGCCUACCAAGGCGGCGACGGGUAGCCGGCCUGAGAGGGUGGACGGCCACAUUGGGACUGAGAUACGGCCCAGACUCCUACGGGAGGCAGCAGUGGGGAAUAUUGCACAAUGGGCGCAAGCCUGAUGCAGCGACGCCGCGUGGGGGAUGACGGCCUUCGGGUUGUAAACUCCUUUCGCUAGGGACGAAGCUUUUGUGACGGUACCUAGAUAAGAAGCACCGGCUAACUACGUA
This 464-nucleotide ribosomal RNA is filed under the name uncultured bacterium. RNAcentral describes it as "partial 16S ribosomal RNA". It matches the Rfam family "Bacterial small subunit ribosomal RNA", at positions 28 to 507 of the family's 1533-position model. The record is from RNAcentral.